RNAcentral lists this ribosomal RNA (380 nucleotides) under uncultured eukaryote. RNAcentral describes it as "partial 18S ribosomal RNA". It matches the Rfam family "Eukaryotic small subunit ribosomal RNA", at positions 592 to 976 of the family's 1831-position model. The record is from RNAcentral.
CAAUAGCGUACAUUAAAGUUGUUGCAGUUAAAAAGCUCGUAGUUGGAUUUGUGGCGUACGGUGUGUUCCGGGCACUUGUUGUCUGAGUAACCUGCUGUUGCCAUCCUUGGGUGGAACCUGUGUGGCAUUAGGUUGUCGUGCAGGGGAUGCCCAUCAUUUACUGUGAAAAAAUUAGAGUGUUCAAAGCAGGCUUAUGCCGUUGAAUAUAUUAGCAUGGAAUAAUGAGAUAGGACUUUUUUGCUAUUUUGUUGGUUUGCGCAAAGAGGUAAUGAUUAAUAGGGACAGUUGGGGGUAUUCGUAUUCCAUUGUCAGAGGUGAAAUUCUUGGAUUUUUGGAAGACGAACUACUGCGAAAGCAUUUACCAAGGAUGUUUUCAUUAA